Molecule: unclassified non-coding RNA, 1259 nt
Filed under: Hevea brasiliensis (rubber tree)
Lineage: Eukaryota; Viridiplantae; Streptophyta; Magnoliopsida; Malpighiales; Euphorbiaceae
Source: RNAcentral
GUUCAAUAAGUUAUGUAAUAUAGAAGGUGACAUAGCCAUUACCUUUUGGUUAUGUUCCUUUGCAUGAAGCUCAGCAUGAAGUCUACAAAGGGCUGUACCUGCAACUUUCCAUGCAAAACCACACUUUCUAACAUCGCCUAUAGCCUUCGCAUAAUCAUAAGUCACGCGAUAAAUAGCAAGUGCAUCGUUGUAUAUGUCCGUUGUACUCCUUAUGCUCUCCUCCAUAUCCGGUGCUUCAUAUAACAGCUGUUUGUACUUUUUAAUAACCUGGUCAGCUAAGUCAUUUUUCGAUUCACUGCUGGUGUUCAGUGCUUCCUUCAUCUCAAAUCUGUACUUUCUGUACCUUUCUUCCCAUAACCUCAAACAUGUCUCAGGGAUUCCAACCUCAAAAGCCGGAAGUUUCUUAAUUUCUACAGCAACUGGUUCUUCAGCUUUAAAUUUCUCAACUCGGUCAUAAAUUUCUCCUAAGACAGAGGUAGAGUGAUAACUUUCUUUCUUUUGCAAGAAAUGUGGAAACUUGUCUACUUUCAACCUCUUUGGGAUGUAGACCUUAUUCCCACUUUUUGGGGCGUCUAUAGCAUCAUAAUACAAAUCAAUCAACUCGAACAACUUUUCUUUCACUGACUUUGUCUCUUCAUUCUCUAUGGUGUUAUUUUUCCCCAAUAUCAGAAGUCUAUCCAUGAGUGCAUACCAGUUAGCAGAAGCAUCAGCCAUGCUAUAGUUUGGCAUCCUAGUUUCUAGAAAUGUCUGAAAGAGUUCAUGCUCCCUUUCCUCCGCAGAGAAGUUGUUGGGCUCCCUAUGCAAUGCCUUUGGUGUUGAAUGGAUUCGGCUCCACGGUCUACUUGCAGUGAAAUAUUUUAACAGCUGGGGGUUUUGAGAGAUCCAAUAUUUAUCUCCAUCAAAAUCACCAUUAGCAAUUUCAGUGGCCGCUGAUCUCGGACCUUUUGUGGAGAAAAAUAUUCCAUAUUUAGCAUUUCCAACUAUGUCUCCGAGGUUCUUCACAGGGACAGCAAGUAGCCUAUGGAUAUCACCAAAAUGAAGUCCAGGAUUCCUGUAUAUUAAUACCUCUCCAAAUAUUUGCCCAUGUUCAAGAAUAACACAGACUUCAUGGCGAUUUAAAGUAUCAGUGGGAUCAGCUGUCCCCAUUAGAUAGAAAGUAUCAGCAAUAGGAAGUCUUCCUCCCUUGAGCCCAUUUCUUUCUUCCUUUGCCAGGGAAGAUAAACAACACCAUAGAUACGGUUCAGUAAGAGGUACUCCAG